Molecule: long non-coding RNA, 182 nt
Organism: Homalodisca vitripennis (glassy-winged sharpshooter)
Lineage: Eukaryota; Metazoa; Arthropoda; Insecta; Hemiptera; Cicadellidae
Exons: 3
Source: RefSeq, a predicted model, not a curated record
CCGGUUAUAAACAGAAGAUCAUAAUUGGAGAGACGAAGUCAUGACAUUAUUAGCAACCGGAACAGAUACUAUUGUUGGCUCAUUGUCUUUUCUACUUGUCACCCUAGGAAAUUACCCAGAAGUCCAGGAUAAGAUAAUAGAGGAGAUCCAGGGAGUGAUGGGAGAUAUGGACCGUGACGUCC